CCUACGGGUGGCAGCAGUGAGGAAUAUUGGUCAAUGGGCUUACGCCUGAACCAGCCAAGUCGCGUGAGGGAAGACUGCCCUAUGGGUUGUAAACCUCUUUUGUCAGGGAGCAAAUGGCGCUACGUGUAGCGCUAUCGAGAGUACCUGAAGAAAAAGCAUCGGCGAACUCCGUGCCAGCAGCCGCGGUAAUAGGGAGAAUGCGAGCGUUAUCCGGAUUUGUUGGGUUUAAAGGGUGCGUAGGCGGAAUGCCAAGUCAGCGGUAAAAUCGCGGGGCUCAACCUCACUUCGCCGUUGAAACUGGCGUGCUUGAGUGGGCGAGAGGUAUGCGGAAUGCGUGGUGUAGCGGUGAAAUGCAUAGAUAUCACGCAGAACUCCGAUUGCGAAGGCAGCAUACCGGCGCCCAACUGACGCUGAAGCACGAAAGCGUGGGUAUCGAACAGGAUUAGAUACCCCAGUAGUC
RNAcentral lists this ribosomal RNA (460 nucleotides) under uncultured bacterium. RNAcentral's name for it is "partial 16S ribosomal RNA". It matches the Rfam family "Bacterial small subunit ribosomal RNA", at positions 338 to 795 of the family's 1533-position model. The record is from RNAcentral.